This 326-nucleotide ribosomal RNA is filed under the name uncultured eukaryote. RNAcentral's name for it is "partial 18S ribosomal RNA". It matches the Rfam family "Eukaryotic small subunit ribosomal RNA", at positions 1470 to 1796 of the family's 1831-position model. The record is from RNAcentral.
CCCUUAGAUGUUCUGGGCCGCACGCGCGCUACACUGAUGCAUUCAACGAGCCUAGCCUUGACCGAGAGGUCCGGGUAAUCUUUGAAACUGCAUCGUGAUGGGGCUAGAUUAUUGCAAUUAUUAAUCUUCAACGAGGAAUGCCUAGUAAGCGUGAUUCAUCAAAUCGCGUUGAUUGCGUCCCUGCCCUUUGUACACACCGCCCGUCGCUCCUACCGAUUGAGUGUGUUGGUGAGGAGUUCGGAUUGGCUCUUAGUGGUGGUUCGCCACCACCUAGAGCUGAGAAGUUCUCCAAACCGCCCCACUUAGAGGAAGGAGAAGUCGUAACA